This 228-nucleotide unclassified non-coding RNA is filed under the name air metagenome. RNAcentral's name for it is "partial contains small subunit ribosomal RNA, internal transcribed spacer 1, and 5.8S ribosomal RNA". The stretch from base 1 to 46 matches the Rfam family "Eukaryotic small subunit ribosomal RNA", at positions 1786 to 1831 of the family's 1831-position model. The record is from RNAcentral.
AAGUCGUAACAAGGUUUCCGUAGGUGAACCUGCGGAAGGAUCAUUAUUGAAUUUCUAAAAGGCUGUUGCUGACCUUUAUUGGUACGUGCACGCCUUUGUUUUUUGAACUCACACCUGUGCACUUUUUGUAGGCGUCAGCCUAUGUCUUUAUAACACACUUCAUUAAUGAAAAAAGAAUGUUAUGGUUAUGAUCAUAUACAACUUUCAACAACGGAUCUCUUGGCUCUC